This 76-nucleotide transfer RNA is filed under the name Nitrospirota bacterium. Its description in RNAcentral is "Nitrospirae bacterium (marine sediment metagenome) tRNA-Cys". It matches the Rfam family "tRNA". From Rfam's summary of the family: Transfer RNA (tRNA) molecules are approximately 80 nucleotides in length. The record is from RNAcentral. Lineage: Bacteria; Pseudomonadati; Nitrospirota. RNAcentral also lists the same sequence under 1 other name.
GGCGACGUACCCAAGUGGCUAAGGGAGCGGUUUGCAAAACCGUCAUGCACCGGUUCGAAUCCGGUCGUCGCCUCCA